AUACGUAGGGUGCGCGCGUUGUCCGGAAUUACUGGGCGUAAAGAGCUCGUAGGUGGUUUGUCGCGUCGUCUGUGAAAUUCCGGGGCUUAACUCCGGGCGUGCAGGCGAUACGGGCAUAACUUGAGUACUGUAGGGGAGACUGGAAUUCCUGGUGUAGCGGUGAAAUGCGCAGAUAUCAGGAGGAACACCGGUGGCGAAGGCGGGUCUCUGGGCAGUAACUGACGCUGAGGAGCGAAGCAUGGGUAGCGAACAGGAUUAGAUACCCUGGUAGUCCAUGCCGUAAACGGUGGGCGCUAGGUGUAGGGGUCUUCCACGACUUCUGUGCCGUAGCUAACGCAUUAAGCGCCCCGCCUGGGGAGUACGGCCGCAAGGCUAAAACUCAAAUGAAUUGACGGGG
RNAcentral lists this ribosomal RNA (397 nucleotides) under uncultured bacterium. RNAcentral describes it as "partial 16S ribosomal RNA". It matches the Rfam family "Bacterial small subunit ribosomal RNA", at positions 523 to 918 of the family's 1533-position model. The record is from RNAcentral.